GAUGAACGCUGGCGGCGUGCCUAACACAUGCAAGUCGAACGGACAUUUUUUGGAAAGUUCUUCGGAACUGGAAUCUAAAUGUUAGUGGCGGACGGGUGAGUAACGCGUGAGCAAUCUGCCUUUCAGAGGGGGAUAACAGCCGGAAACGGCUGGCUAAUACCGCAUAAUGCAUCGGAUUCGCAUGUUGCAGUGUGGAAAGCCCUGGCGGUAUGAGAUGGACCCGCGUCUGAUUAGCUGGUUGGUGAGGUAGCGGCCCACCAAGGCGACGAUCAGUAGCCGGCCUGAGAGGGUGGACGGCCACAUUGGGACUGAGACACGGCCCAA
RNAcentral lists this ribosomal RNA (324 nucleotides) under uncultured bacterium. RNAcentral describes it as "bacterial SSU rRNA". It matches the Rfam family "Bacterial small subunit ribosomal RNA", at positions 28 to 334 of the family's 1533-position model. The record is from RNAcentral.